CCUGAAUGUCAGCAGAGCCAGGUUGAGAAAUCCAGCUCUCAGUGAAGACAAUCACAUCCCUUUGCAAACAGUCGCCCCAGGAAGCACGUUUAUUGCCAUGACGUGGAUUUGGCUCAAGCCUGUUUUGGAAGCCGGCGUGGGCACCACCCUCGAGCGGCUUAGAACCGCUGGAGAAAACUGGCCUCGCCAGCCCCCGCUGCUGAGGCCCCAAGCAGGUUGGCCUGGCAGGACCGGGGGUCUGACUCACAGAGGGUGACUAAUGGCUGUUGAAGGCAUACUGGAGACUGUGCAGGCGUGGAGGCUGGAGGGAGCUUUGCUGGCAUCCGGGGAGGAACUACCGGUCCCCAGGACAAUCGCGGAUCUGGGGCAGCCCUCAAGGACCCAGGCACAAGAUGUCACCAAGUGGGACUUGCCAGGGGCCAGAGACAGGGUCUUGUUAUGUUGCCCAGGCUGAUCUGGAACUCCUGGGCUCAAGUGAUCCUCCUGCCUCGGCCUCCCAGUGCACUGGGAUUAUGUAAGCCACCGUGCCCAACUGACAUGCAGGAACCUUAAAUGCUGGUUGUGAAGUGGAAGAAGCCAGUCUGAAAAGCCUGCAACACUGGGACUCCAACUACAGACAGCCUGGAAAAGACAGAACUGUGGAGGCAGUGAGAAGAGCUGUGGCUGCCAAAGGUCAUGGAGGGAUGAACAGGGGGAGCAUGGAGGAAUUUUAGGGCAGUGACACCACUCUGUGACACUCCAACGGCAGACACAUUCAUUAUACUUUUGUCCAAACUCAAAGAAUGUGCAACACCAAGAACCCUAAUGGAAACUAUGGCUGUUAGUAACAGUACCAACGUAGAGUUGAGUCAGGUGCAACCAACACACCACACGAAUGCAAAAUAUAAAUAAUGUGAGAACCUGGGCGUGGGAGGGGUACAUGGGAACUCUCUGCACUAUCUGCUCGGUAUUUUUAUAAACCUAAAACUGCUCUAAAACAACCAAUCUGUUUUUUUGUUUUUUUUUUAAGCGGAGCUGGGUACAGUGGUUCACGCCUAUAAUCCCAGCAUUUUGGGAGGCCAAGGUGGGAGGAUCAUUGGCAUCCAGGAGUUCGAGACCAGCCUGGGGAAUACAGUGAGACCCCCAUCUCUACAAAAAAUAAAAUAAAAAUGAAAAAAAGGCAGAUCCCACACCCAGAGGUGCAGACCCCUGAGGCCACACGCUGCCCCUGGCCCUCACCAGGUGGCGAUGGUUGCGUUGUUCUGAGACAUGUGGAUGCACCUUGUCCUACAAUCCCU
This 1277-nucleotide long non-coding RNA is filed under the name Homo sapiens (human). Its description in RNAcentral is "HSALNT0396421". Lineage: Eukaryota; Metazoa; Chordata; Mammalia; Primates; Hominidae. The record is from RNAcentral.